GGCCAUAUCGUCUAGUGGUUAGGACAGCGGGUUCUCAAUCCGCUAACCGGAGUUCGAUCCUCCGUAUGGUCACAA
This 75-nucleotide transfer RNA is filed under the name Candidatus Nomurabacteria bacterium RIFCSPHIGHO2_02_FULL_33_12. Its description in RNAcentral is "tRNA-Glu". It matches the Rfam family "tRNA". Rfam says of the family: Transfer RNA (tRNA) molecules are approximately 80 nucleotides in length. Their secondary structure includes four short double-helical elements and three loops (D, anti-codon, and T loops). Lineage: Bacteria; Candidatus Nomuraibacteriota. RNAcentral also lists the same sequence under 1 other name. The record is from RNAcentral.